GGAUCGAGGAAUCGGUCAUGCCUUGGUAUGUACUGGUUUUAUUGGUUCUCACCUUCUAAAGAACCAUAAUGUCAUUUAUUUGAUGUUAUGGGGAAUCAGGACUGUUACUUUGAAAAAAUUAGAGUGUUUAAAGCAGGCUCACGCUUGAAUACAUUAGCAUGGAAUAACGAAAUAGGACGCUUGAUUUUAUUUUGUUGGUUUCUAGGAUCGACGUA
RNAcentral lists this ribosomal RNA (215 nucleotides) under Campeiostachys nutans. RNAcentral's name for it is "Elymus nutans partial small subunit ribosomal RNA". The stretch from base 46 to 215 matches the Rfam family "Eukaryotic small subunit ribosomal RNA", at positions 693 to 864 of the family's 1831-position model. The record is from RNAcentral. Lineage: Eukaryota; Viridiplantae; Streptophyta; Magnoliopsida; Poales; Poaceae.